UGGCAAGGUCUGUUUGACAUGUGCCACUGUCAUAGCAGAAAUGAUGCAAGAUACCCUUGUAAACUCAUGAAACAUUUCACAGAUACAGCAUUCAUUCUGAAGUAACUUGUAAUUUGAAGAUACAGGGACACAUAAAGAAAAUGCUUGAUCUAAGUUCAUUUUCAGGAAACAGAUUUCAGAACAAUAACCUAUGACAUUUUGGCUUCAAAAAUAAAAAGGCUUUCAGAAAAUCCAUUCUUACAGUAUGAUAUCAAACUAUGCAUGUAGGCCACUGGUGCAAAAACAACCAUAUAAGUGUUUCCCCUCAUAUGAACCCCGUAUUAACUCCUUUGAACAAGUUCUUAAUUGGAUAAUUUUUCAGCUACAUAAGGAAGAUACCAAACACGAAACUUAAAGCAUACCUGCUCUUGAGAUAA
This 416-nucleotide unclassified non-coding RNA is filed under the name Hevea brasiliensis (rubber tree). Lineage: Eukaryota; Viridiplantae; Streptophyta; Magnoliopsida; Malpighiales; Euphorbiaceae. The record is from RNAcentral.